GACGAACGCUGGCGGCGUGCUUAACACAUGCUUUUCGAACGGAAAGGCCCUGCUUUUGUGGGGUGCUCGAGUGGCGAACGGGUGAGUAACACGUGAGUAACCUGCCCUUGACUUUGGGAUAACUUCAGGAAACUGGGGCUAAUACCGGAUAGGAGCUCCUGCCGCAUGGUGGGGGUUGGAAAGUUUCGGCGGUUGGGGAUGGACUCGCGGCUUAUCAGCUUGUUGGUGGGGUAGUGGCUUACCAAGGCUUUGACGGGUAGCCGGCCUGAGAGGGUGACCGGCCACAUUGGGACUGAGAUACGGCCCAGACUCCUACGGGAGGCAGCAGUGGGGAAUAUUGCACAAUGGGCGGAAGCCUGAUGCAGCAACGCCGCGUGCGGGAUGACGGCCUUCGGGUUGUAAACCGCUUUCGCCUGUGACGAAGCGUGAGUGACGGUAAUGGGUAAAGAAGCACCGGCUAACUACGUGCCGGCAGCCGCGGUGAUACGUAGGGUGCGAGCGUUGUCCGGAUUUAUUGGGCGUAAAGGGCUCGUAGGUGGUUGAUCGCGUCGGAAGUGUAAUCUUGGGGCUUAACCCUGAGCGUGCUUUCGAUACGGGUUGACUUGAGGAAGGUAGGGGAGAAUGGAAUUCCUGGUGGAGCGGUGGAAUGCGCAGAUAUCAGGAGGAACACCAGUGGCGAAGGCGGUUCUCUGGGCCUUUCCUGACGCUGAGGAGCGAAAGCGUGGGGAGCGAACAGGCUUAGAUACCCUGGUAGUCCACGCUGUAAACGGUGGGUACUAGGUGUGGGGUCCAUUCCACGGGUUCCGUGCCGUAGCUAACGCUUUAAGUACCCCGCCUGGGGAGUACGGCCGCAAGGCUAAAACUCAAAGGAAUUGACGGGGCCCCGCACAAGCGGCGGAGCAUGCGGAUUAAUUCGAUGCAACGCGUAGAACCUUACCUGGGUUUGACAUGGAUCGGGAGUGCUCAGAGAUGGGUGUGCCUCUUUUGGGGUCGGUUCACAGGUGGUGCAUGCCUGUCGUCAGCUCGUGUCGUGAGAUGUUGGGUUAAGUCCCGCAACGAGCGCAACCCUUGUUCACUGUUGCCAGCACGUUAUGGUGGGGACUCAGUGGAGACCGCCGGGGUCAACUCGGAGGAAGGUGGGGAUGACGUCAAGUCCUCAUGCCCCUUAUGUCCAGGGCUUCACGCAUGCUACAAUGGCUGGUACAGAGAGUGGCGAGCCUGUGAGGGUGAGCGAAUCUCGGAAAGCCGGUCUCAGUUCGGAUUGGGGUCUGCAACUCGACCUCAUGAAGUCGGAGCCGCUAGUAAUCGCAGAUCAGCAACGCUGCGGUGAAUAAAUUCCCGGGGCU
RNAcentral lists this ribosomal RNA (1346 nucleotides) under uncultured bacterium. RNAcentral's name for it is "bacterial SSU rRNA". It matches the Rfam family "Bacterial small subunit ribosomal RNA", at positions 28 to 1381 of the family's 1533-position model. The record is from RNAcentral.